UACAGAGGGUGCGAGCGUUGCUCGGAAUCACUGGGCGUAAAGCGCACGUAGGCGGCUUACUAAGUCAGGGGUGAAAUCCUGGAGCUCAACUCCAGAACUGCCUUUGGUACUGGUGAGCUUGAGUCCGGAAGAGGUGAGUGGAACUGCGAGUGUAGAGGUGAAAUUCGUAGAUAUUCGCAAGAACACCAGUGGCGAAGGCGGCUCACUGGUCCGGUACUGACGCUGAGGUGCGAAAGCGUGGGGAGCAAACAGG
This 253-nucleotide ribosomal RNA is filed under the name uncultured bacterium. RNAcentral's name for it is "partial 16S ribosomal RNA". It matches the Rfam family "Bacterial small subunit ribosomal RNA", at positions 524 to 776 of the family's 1533-position model. The record is from RNAcentral.